CCUACGGGAGGCAGCAGUAGGGAAUCUUCCACAAUGGGCGAAAGCCUGAUGGAGCAACGCCGCGUGGGUGAAUAAGGUCUUAGGAUCGUAAAACCCUGUUGUUAGAGAAGAAAGUGAGUGAGAGUAACUGUUCACGUUUCGACGGUAUCUAACCAGAAAGUCACGGCUAACUACGUGCCAGCAGCCGAGGGAAUACGUAGGGUGCAAGCGUUAUCCGGAUUUAUUGGGCGUAAAGGGAACGCAGGCGGUCUUUUAAGUCUGAUGUGAAAGGCUUCGGCUUAACCGGGGUAGUGCAUUGGAAACUGGGAGACUUGAGUGCAGAAGAGGAGAGUGGAACUCCAGGUGUAGCGGUGAAAUGCGUAGAUAUAUGGAAGAACACCAGUGGCGAAAGCGGCUCUCUGGUCUGUAACUGACGCUGAGGUUCGAAAGCGUGGGUAGCAAACAGGAUUAGAUACCCCUGUAGUC
Molecule: ribosomal RNA, 465 nt
Filed under: uncultured bacterium
Lineage: Bacteria
Description: partial 16S ribosomal RNA
Rfam family: Bacterial small subunit ribosomal RNA
Source: RNAcentral